This 890-nucleotide long non-coding RNA is filed under the name Nicotiana tabacum (common tobacco). Its description in RNAcentral is "long non-coding RNA (NTAB_LNC003579)". The record is from RNAcentral. Lineage: Eukaryota; Viridiplantae; Streptophyta; Magnoliopsida; Solanales; Solanaceae.
ACACACCUAAUUAUCCCAGCCGCACACACCCGCCCCUCCGCUUCUGCGGCCGCCGUAGCUCGCCGAAAAUACACUUUUUCGGCCACGCGUUUUGGUCCCCCCUACUCCUCUCCCUUCCCUCAACGUGGCCUAACUAACUCUGAAACCGAAUAUUCCCCAUUCUCUCCUCACUCGAUCUCACGUGCUAUAUCUCUCUCUAACAAAUGAAGGAUUGAUGGAGGUCGUGGGAUUAAUGGAUAUUUAAUCCUCUUCGUUCAUCUGUCCCGAAUUAGUUGAUUUGAGAGAGGUUUUUGAUUUUCUUUUAAAAAAUAAUUUCGGAUUUUUUGGAGCAGAGGGAGAAGAUUCGAGAAGGCCAUAUAUAUUUGAGGAUUUGGAGACAGAAAUUGGAGAGAUUUUCGGAUAGAAAGAAAGUGAGGAAAAAGCAAGGUUUAAGUAAAACUUUUCUUCUCUAUUUUUGAGUCUUCUUCUUUGAGUUUUCUUGUUUCUUUGAGACCAUAGAAGAAAAUGCAUACAAAAAAGAUCUGAUUUCUCGGGCUAAUUAGUUUGUGUUCAAAUUUUAGAAAGAAGAAAAAAAACGCACCUCUGGUUCUUGCUUCUGAUUUCGGAUUUGGAUCCAAAAAUAUGGAGUUCGAGGUGUCGUUCGUGAUCCCGUUUGAGUUUGAUUACUGUCUCGAGUUCCGGUGAUAGCGGUCCUUCGAUUCUAUCCGUGUAAUUGCUGGAAUUUUCGUUAAUUAAAACUAUUUCAGGUUCACCUUUUUUCCCUUUCUCUGUUAUUUGCGACGUUACUUUCAUAUGUUGUGAUUGAAAUAUGGUGCUGCCCUAUUCUCUUGGUUACUGUGAUUGUAGUCUCGAUUUAUGCUUAAGGAUAGAGCAAUUGGAAAUUGGAGUGU